UCCAACUUAACUCUACAAAUGAAAAUAUUUCAAACCUAAACGCAUGUUAGUUAAAAUGAGAAUUCCAACUAGAAGACUCGAUUAUGCGUAUAAUCAAGUAUAUACUAUUUGAAAUAUAAAUUCAAUGAAAGUGGAAGAUUGAAAGGAAUAAAACAUACGAGAAUCAAUGGAUGCAGCUUGAGGCUUUGCGUUAGCUUCGUUACUAGUUUUCCAACGCAAGAAGCCAAAGAUUAAGGAUGUAGCGGCGUCUUGAUUGGGUGAAGAUAGCUUGUAGGCUAGCCCGUAGUUCGUGUCGAGUCAUGCUCUGAUUGUAACACUGGGAUCGAUUAGUCUUAGCGUUACUUGAGAUACUUUGUUGCUAUUUUGAUUAUGGAUUAUGUAUUGUGGAUCUGUUUGGAUAUGUUCCUAACAUUGUUUAAAAUAAGUUUCCGCUGUAAUGAACACAUGUUUGAAGUUUGGUUUAAUCUUAAUAAAGCAUGACAAACGACAUUGGUAUUUUUAUUUA
This is a long non-coding RNA of Vicia villosa (hairy vetch), 505 nucleotides long. RefSeq lists it as uncharacterized. The record is from RefSeq and is a predicted model, not a curated record. Lineage: Eukaryota; Viridiplantae; Streptophyta; Magnoliopsida; Fabales; Fabaceae. The transcript has 2 exons.